UACGCAGGGGGCUAGCGUUGUUCGGAAUCACUGGGCGUAAAGCGCACGCAGGCGGAUCGAUAAGUCGGGGGUGAAAGCCCGGGGCUCAACCUCGGAAUUGCCUUCGAUACUGUCGGUCUCGAGUCCGGGAGAGGUGAGUGGAAUUCCUAGUGUAGAGGUGAAAUUCGUAGAUAUUAGGAAGAACACCAGUGGCGAAGGCGGCUCGCUGGCCCGGGACUGACGCUCAGGUGCGAAAGCGUGGGGAGCAAACAGG
Molecule: ribosomal RNA, 253 nt
Filed under: uncultured bacterium
Lineage: Bacteria
Description: partial 16S ribosomal RNA
Rfam family: Bacterial small subunit ribosomal RNA
Source: RNAcentral